RNAcentral lists this ribosomal RNA (786 nucleotides) under uncultured archaeon. Its description in RNAcentral is "bacterial SSU rRNA". It matches the Rfam family "Archaeal small subunit ribosomal RNA", at positions 85 to 876 of the family's 1478-position model. The record is from RNAcentral.
ACGGCUCAGUAACACGUGGACAAUCUACCCUAUGGAAGGGGAUAACCCCGGGAAACUGGGGAUAAUACCCUAUAGGCUAUGGAUGCUGGAAUGCACUGUAGUUGAAAGGUCCGCCGCCAUAGGAUGGGUCUGCGGCCGAUUAGGUUGUUGUUGGGGUAACGGCCCAACAAGCCUGUAAUCGGUACGGGUUGUGGGAGCAAGAGCCCGGAGAUGGAUUCUGAGACACGAAUCCAGGCCCUACGGGGCGCAGCAGGCGCGAAAACUUUGCAAUGCGGGAAACCGUGACAGGGGAACUCCGAGUGCCCGUUAAAUCGGGCUGUCCAUCAGUUUAAAUAACUGGUGAAGAAAGGGCCGGGCAAGACCGGUGCCAGCCGCCGCGGUAAUACCGGCGGCUCGAGUGGUGGCCACUAUUACUGGGCUUAAAGCGUUCGUAGCUGGUUUGUUAAGUCUCUGGGGAAAUCUUCCGGCUUAACCGGAAGGCGUCUCAGGGAUACUGGCAGACUAGGGACCGGGAGAGGUGAGGGGUACUCCAGGGGUAGGAGUGAAAUCCUGUAAUCCUUGGGGGACCACCUGUGGCGAAGGCGCCUCACCAGAACGGCUCCGACAGUGAGGGACGAAAGCUGGGGGAGCAAACCGGAUUAGAUACCCGGGUAGUCCCAGCUGUAAACGAUGCGCGUUAGGUGUAUCGGUGACCACGAGUCACCGAGGUGCCGAAGAGAAAUCGUGAAACGUGCCGCCUGGGAAGUACGGUCGCAAGGCUGAAACUUAAAGGAAUUGGCGGGGGAG